GUGAUUUCAAAAGCCCACACCUGGACCAAGUUCUCUCUGUCUCUCUCUCUGUCUCUCUCUGUCUCUAUCUCUGUCUCUCUUUGACACACUUUGCACUCCCCUCUCCCCUUAUGCCUAAUUCUUACCAGUGAUGUCAUUUCCAGCUGUUUAGAUUCAGGACUUUGUGGUUGGUUUUCUUUUCCCACAUGACUGGAAGUAGAGAACCUUAGCAAACAAGAGGAACGAAGUUAGCCCUGUGUCAUCUUUUGAAGAGUGUUAUGCAAGAGAGCAACUUCCCUUACAAAGUGACGGGAAUCGAAUCCAGGAUCACGCAUACCAGGCAUUCUUGCCUUCGGCUUGUCUGGUGUUCUUCUCAAAGUUAGCCUUGGCUUCCGCGUUAUUGGAGGAAGCCCCCAGCAGUGAGACGCCUGCUCUCUCACCAUAUCAUAAGUGUCUGCUUCUACUUUGCCUUAUCACUACUGAUGUUACUCAGAAUCACUGGACCAAGGGACUCUGUACCACUCUCUGGAAUUGAGCAUUGCAGUUUUGAGUAAGGAAUGUGACGGGGUGAAAACUGUAUUUUAAGAAAGUGCUUACUACACAAACAUGAGAGCUUGAAUGGAGCCACACCACUCAUUUGAAAAGCCAGCUGCAGCAGCAACUCUGGAAAAAUGGGGCAGGGGGACCCCUGGGACUUACUGGCCAGUCCAUUUAGCAAAUUAGUGAGCUCUAAUUGCAUACACUUGCACACAGGUGUAUGUGUGUGUGUACAGAAAACGGUAUUCUGAAUUGAAAAGUCCACUCGUGGCUUAUGCGCUGAGUUGGAGCACCAUGGCCGUACGUUGUGCCUACUCUGGUCUAGAUGAUUCAUGGGACUUUCCUCAUGGAUGCUUCCUUCUUGCACACCAAUAAGCCCAGCAGAAGCUAGAGAAACACUGUCUAUCAGAAGUGCAUCGAGUAGGGCGAGUCUGCUGAACAUCAGAGCUGGACAGCACAGUCCUCUGUAGUGUUGGUUGUCCCUCUGUAACCACGUGGCUUGCUGUCGCUGCCCAGCAUCUUGGAGGGUUGGACCACAUCUUGCUACCUCGUGGGAAGCUCUGAUUUUAAAAAUCAGUGUGUAUUUCCGACUGGAUGUGCAUCUUGCUUCCACCACUGUGAAGUCAGAAAGCAUGUGUCUAGUGUCUAAGCAGUAGACUGUGUCUAUUUAAUCCUCUCAUUGACUCCCGUUUGACUGACAAGGGAACUGGAGCUUUUAGGGGACAUAUUAUCUAUUACACAACCAAGAAGUGGUCAAACUUGUCUCUGAAGUAAAAAAAAAAAAAAAAAAAAAAGGUCUACUUUAUCACUGUGCCAUUUAGGUAUCACCCACCAUCACGGGGGUGGGGGGUGGAGUGCCCUGUUAGAAUGUGCUUAGGUACCAGGGUUCAAAUUUGGAGUCAGAUUCUCCAGUCCCACCUCCAGAGAUUCUGUCCCAGUGGUGUGAUGGCAAGA
RNAcentral lists this long non-coding RNA (1470 nucleotides) under Mus spicilegus (steppe mouse). RNAcentral's name for it is "lncRNA (ENSMSIG00000031353.1)". Lineage: Eukaryota; Metazoa; Chordata; Mammalia; Rodentia; Muridae. The record is from RNAcentral.